AACCAGCUCUUCAAGUGGUCGGGCCAAUUAUUGGGCUUAAAGUGUCCGUAGCCGGUUUGGCAAGUUCCUGGUGAAAGCUGGUAGCUUAACUAUCAGUAGGCUAGGAAUACUAACUGACUUGAGGGUGGGAAAGGUCUGAGGUACUCCGGGGGUAGCGGGGAAAUGCGAUAAUCCUUGGGGGACCACCAGUGGCGAAGGCGUCAGACUGGAACACGCCUGACGGUGAGGGACGAAAGCCAGGGGAGCGAGCGGG
Molecule: ribosomal RNA, 253 nt
Filed under: uncultured archaeon
Lineage: Archaea
Description: partial 16S ribosomal RNA
Rfam family: Archaeal small subunit ribosomal RNA
Source: RNAcentral